GCCUGGAAAUGAUGAAAAUUGCAUCAAAUAUGUACUGUAGCGGUCCCAAUUUAAUGGGAAGGAGGCUUAACGAGAGUAGUUUAACGCUUUCUUUCACUCAACAACAACGACAACAGCGACUGCAAGAACAAAAACAACAAUCGCGAAAACGAGAAGCACAACUCCCCUGUUGAUGACACGAAGUGCAGUUACCAGGAUCACAUGAAGAAAAGCUAAAAGGAGGACAUGAAAUACAACUAAAAGGGUGAAUCGAACAAGAACUACAAGGGCAACACGAAGAACAAAGACAUGGG
RNAcentral lists this unclassified non-coding RNA (293 nucleotides) under Hevea brasiliensis (rubber tree). Lineage: Eukaryota; Viridiplantae; Streptophyta; Magnoliopsida; Malpighiales; Euphorbiaceae. The record is from RNAcentral.